Molecule: ribosomal RNA, 173 nt
Filed under: Ceratobasidium sp. AG-K
Lineage: Eukaryota; Fungi; Basidiomycota; Agaricomycetes; Cantharellales; Ceratobasidiaceae
Description: 5.8S ribosomal RNA
Rfam family: 5.8S ribosomal RNA (bases 14-167)
About the family: 5.8S ribosomal RNA (5.8S rRNA) is a component of the large subunit of the eukaryotic ribosome. It is transcribed by RNA polymerase I as part of the 45S precursor that also contains 18S and 28S rRNA.
Source: RNAcentral
GCAUCUUUAAACUAAGUUUCAACAACGGAUCUCUUGGCUCUCGCAUCGAUGAAGAACGCAGCGAAAUGCGAUAAGUAAUGUGAAUUGCAGAAUUCAGUGAAUCAUCGAAUCUUUGAACGCACCUUGCGCUCCUUGGUAUUCCUUGGAGCAUGCCUGUUUGAGUAUCAUGAAAU